Molecule: long non-coding RNA, 913 nt
Filed under: Marmota monax (woodchuck)
Lineage: Eukaryota; Metazoa; Chordata; Mammalia; Rodentia; Sciuridae
Source: RNAcentral
CUUGGGAGAUAGAUGGGAGGCAUCUUAUAGGGAUGGCCACUUUCAGUCCUUAUGGCCACCCUAAAAAGAUGCUGUUAUCAUCUCUUUAACAGAAAAGGAAACUUGGGUCAAAAUCCCUAAGUUGACAGUGGCCCCAUGCUUGACUCCUUCCUGUACCACCUCCCAGUCCUUAUCAACCUGUGACAUGGGGAUGGAGUUGAGUGGAAGGAAAGAAGGCCUAGAAUAUAGGGCUGAGAAGGGGCAGCCUCAGGUGUGGGAGGAGCAUUUGUGAGCAGGAGUCACCACCUCCACAUCCACAUAAAUUGUGGCUCUUAAAGCUGCCAGGUGUGACCACCAAUCAUUUGUCCAUUCUAGUUGGGCACCUGCCAUAUGCAGGGCUUAUGUACCAGGACCCAGAGAUUACGUUUCUAUCCCUGGGCAGUACUCUGGAGCCAACAUAAUGAGUGCCACAUGACAUAAGGGAGGAGUUACUUAGGACAGGGAAGGGGCAGCCAGUACUGGGCUGGGGUAAGAGAGGGAGCCUUUAAAAAAAAGAGUAGAAAUCAGCCAGUCAAAAGAUGAUGGGUGGUAAGUUUCUGGCAGAGGGAGCCAAGUGGGCCUUUGUGGGCUGCUGAGAAACGGUGGGUGCAGUAGACAGAGUCAAGAGGACAGGCCUGUGCCUAGGCAGCCCAGGAAUCAGAGGCCCUGAAGGCAGGCCUGUGGGUUUCCAAGCCUAAGGAACCUGGGGCCAGACCCGCCCACAGUCUCCUUGGACCUCGCUGCGAACUGGACCGGGAACAUUCCAGGCUAAUCGCAGCUCAGAUCGGCAGCUCCAGCUCCAGAGGCUCUGCCUCAGGACCUCCUACACCCGGGAGCCAGCUCGGGUAGGCGCAGCCUGCUGGAGUCGGGGCGGCGGGGUCCUCAGAUUGACCCA